CAGCGCCGCGGUAAUACGAAGGGUGCAAGCGUUAAUCGGAAUUACUGGGCGUAAAGCGUGCGUAGGCGGUGAGUUAAGUCUGCUGUGAAAUCCCCGGGCUCAACCUGGGAAUGGCAGUGGAUACUGGCUCGCUAGAGUGUGUCAGAGGAUGGUGGAAUUCCCGGUGUAGCGGUGAAAUGCGUAGAGAUCGGGAGGAACAUCAGUGGCGAAGGCGGCCAUCUGGGACAACACUGACGCUGAGGCACGAAAGCGUGGGGAGCAAACAGGAUUAGAUACCCCGGUAGUCCCUGUCUCUUAUACA
Molecule: ribosomal RNA, 301 nt
Filed under: uncultured bacterium
Lineage: Bacteria
Description: partial 16S ribosomal RNA
Rfam family: Bacterial small subunit ribosomal RNA
Source: RNAcentral